GAAAUGCGAUAAGUAGUGUGAAUUGCAGAAUUCAGUGAAUCAUCGAAUCUUUGAACGCACAUUGCGCCCUUUGGUAUUCCUUAGGGCAUGCCUGUUCGAGCGUCAUCUAAACCUUCAAGCCCUUCUUGGUGUUGGGUGCCUGUCCCGCCUCCGCGCGCGGACUCACCUCAAAUCCAUUGGCGGCCCCCGCGUCGGCCACGAGCGCAGCAGAAACGCGAACUCGUGAGCCCGUCCGGGCGGCUCCCAGAAGCUACACCCACCCAGUUUGACCUCGGAUCAGGUAGGGAUACCCGCUGAACUUAAGC
This 305-nucleotide unclassified non-coding RNA is filed under the name plant metagenome. RNAcentral describes it as "partial contains 5.8S ribosomal RNA, internal transcribed spacer 2, and large subunit ribosomal RNA". The stretch from base 1 to 105 matches the Rfam family "5.8S ribosomal RNA", at positions 50 to 154 of the family's 154-position model. The record is from RNAcentral.